UACGGAGGGCGCGAGCGUUAUUCGGAAUCAUUGGGCGUAAAGCGCGUGUAGGCGGCUGUGCAAGUCGGGUGUGAAAGCCCGGGGCUCAACCCCGGAAUUGCAUUCGAAACUGCACAGCUAGAGUCUCGGAGAGGAGGGCGGAAUUCCCGGUGUAGAGGUGAAAUUCGUAGAUAUCGGGAGGAACACCAGUGGCGAAGGCGGCCCUCUGGACGAUGACUGACGCUGAGACGCGAAAGCGUGGGGAGCAAACAGG
Molecule: unclassified non-coding RNA, 253 nt
Filed under: uncultured delta proteobacterium
Lineage: Bacteria; Deltaproteobacteria
Description: contains 16S-23S intergenic spacer region
Rfam family: Bacterial small subunit ribosomal RNA
Source: RNAcentral